RNAcentral lists this unclassified non-coding RNA (215 nucleotides) under Hevea brasiliensis (rubber tree). Lineage: Eukaryota; Viridiplantae; Streptophyta; Magnoliopsida; Malpighiales; Euphorbiaceae. The record is from RNAcentral.
GGGACAGGCUUGCUUGAGCGGAUAUGCGAACAGCAGAUAGGAUCACAGUAGCAGCUACUUCUUCCUAAGAGGAGAAAGAAAGCCGACCCUUUGGCUCGCUUCCGACUGUCUUGCCCAGAAUGAUUGGAAUGAGACAGUACUAAUCCGCCCAAUAGCUUAAUAACCCAAGCUAAGUAGGGUAAGGUGUCUCCGGGGAGAGAACUUGUACCUUGAAA